UAGGGAAUCUUCCACAAUGGACGCAAGUCUGAUGGAGCAACGCCGCGUGAGUGAAGAAGGUUUUCGGAUCGUAAAGCUCUGUUGUUGGUGAAGAAGGAUAGAGGCAGUAACUGGUCUUUAUUUGACGGUAAUCAACCAGAAAGUCACGGCUAACUACGUGCCAGCAGCCGCGGUAAUACGUAGGUGGCAAGCGUUGUCCGGAUUUAUUGGGCGUAAAGCGAGCGCAGGCGGAAUGAUAAGUCUGAUGUGAAAGCCCACGGCUCAACCGUGGAACUGCAUCGGAAACUGUCAUUCUUGAGUGAAGAAGAGGAGAGUGGAAUUCCAUGUGUAGCGGUGGAAUGCGUAGAUAUAUGGAAGAACACCAGUGGCGAAGGCGGCUCUCUGGUCUGCAAAUGACGCUGAGGCUCGAAAGCAUGGGUAGCGAACAGG
RNAcentral lists this ribosomal RNA (429 nucleotides) under bacterium. RNAcentral's name for it is "partial 16S ribosomal RNA". It matches the Rfam family "Bacterial small subunit ribosomal RNA", at positions 355 to 776 of the family's 1533-position model. The record is from RNAcentral.